UAGCCUAGUGGUUAAGGCUAUGGAUCGCCAAUCCAGAGACGGCGGGUUUGAUUCCCGU
This is a non-coding RNA of Aedes albopictus (Asian tiger mosquito), 58 nucleotides long. The record is from Rfam. NCBI's taxonomy places the organism in Eukaryota, Metazoa, Arthropoda, Insecta, Diptera, Culicidae.